RNAcentral lists this ribosomal RNA (201 nucleotides) under uncultured bacterium. Its description in RNAcentral is "partial 16S ribosomal RNA". It matches the Rfam family "Bacterial small subunit ribosomal RNA", at positions 328 to 539 of the family's 1533-position model. The record is from RNAcentral.
ACGCUCGACACCUACGUGAGGCAGCAGUGGGGAAUAUUGCACAAUGGGGGAAACCCUGAUGCAGCGACGCCGCGUGAGCGAAGAAGUAUUUCGGUAUGUAAAGCUCUAUCAGCAGGGAAGAAACUGACGGUACCUGACUAAGAAGCACCGGCUAAAUACGUGCCUGCAGCCGCUGUAAUCUGGAGGCGGGCUGGACAAGGC